GACGAACGCUGGCGGCGUGCUUAACACAUGCAAGUCGAACGGAAAGGCCCUGCUUUUGUGGGGUUCUCGAGUGGCGAACGGGUGAGUAACACGUGAGUAACCUGCCCUUGACUUUGGGAUAACUUCAGGAAACUGGGGCUAAUACCGGAUAGGAUCUCCUGCUGCAUGGUGGGGGUUGGAAAGUUUCGGCGGUUGGGGAUGGACUCGCUGCUUAUCAGCUUCUUGGUGGGGUAGUGGCUUACCAAGGCUUUGACGGGUAGCCGGCCUGAGAGGGUGACCGGCGACAUGGGGACUGAGAUACGGCGCAGAGGAGAACGGGAGGCAGCAGGGGGGAAUAUUGCAGAAUGGGCGGAAGCGUGAUGAAGCAAAGCCGCGUGCGGGAUGACGGCCUUCGGGUGGAAAAAAGAUUUAGAAUGAGACGAAGAGUGAGUGACGGUAAUGGGUAAAGAAGCACCGGCUAACUACGUG
Molecule: ribosomal RNA, 468 nt
Filed under: uncultured bacterium
Lineage: Bacteria
Description: partial 16S ribosomal RNA
Rfam family: Bacterial small subunit ribosomal RNA
Source: RNAcentral